GAUGAGCCUAGGUCGAAUUAGCUAGUUGGUGAGGUAAUGGCUCACCAAGGCUACGAUCCGUAACUGGUCUGAGAGGAUGAUCAGUCACACUGGAACUGAGACACGGUCCAGACUCCUACGGGAGGCAGCAGUGGGGAAUAUUGGACAAUGGGCGAAAGCCUGAUCCAAACAGGCCGCGUGUGUGAAGAAGGUCUUCGGAUGAAAUCUAAAAGGAGUGGGAGGAAGGGCAUUAACCUAAUACGUUAGUGUUUGACG
This 255-nucleotide ribosomal RNA is filed under the name uncultured bacterium. RNAcentral describes it as "partial 16S ribosomal RNA". It matches the Rfam family "Bacterial small subunit ribosomal RNA", at positions 224 to 474 of the family's 1533-position model. The record is from RNAcentral.